CUAUUUGUGGGGGAUAACGUAGGUAAACUUACGCUAAUACCGCAUACGACCUACGGGUGAAAGCGGAGGACCUUCGGGGUUCGCGCAGAUAGAUGAGCCGACGUCGGAUUAGCUAGUUGGCGGGGUAAAGGCCCACCAAGGCGACGAUCCGUAGCUGGUCUGAGAGGAUGAUCAGCCACACUGGAACUGAUACACGGUCCAGACUCCUACGGGAGGCAGCAGUGGGGAAUAUUGGACAAUGGGCGCAAGCCUGAUCCAUCCAUGCCGCGGGUGUGAAGAAGGCCUUCGGGUUGUAAAGCACUUUUGUCCGGAAAGAAAAGCAUUGGGUUAAUACCCCGAUGUCUUGACCGUACCGGAAGAAUAAGCCCCGGCUAACUUCGUGCCAGCAGCCGCGGUAAUACGAAGGGUGCAAGCGUUACUCGGAAUUACUGGGCGUAAAGCGUGCGUAGGUGGUUUGUUAAGUCUGAUGUGAAAGCCCUGGGCUCAACCUGGGAAUGGCAUUGGAAACUGGCUUACUAGAGCGCGGUAGAGGGUAGUGGAAUUCCCGGUGUACCAGUGAAAUGCGUAGAUAUCGGGAGGAACAUCUGUGGCGAAGGCGACUACCUGGACCAGUCUGACACUGACGCGCGAAAGCGUGGGGAGCAAACCGGAUUAGAUACCCUGGUAGUCCACGCCCUACACGAUGCGAACUGGAUGUUGGGAGCAACUUGGCUCUCACUAUCCAAGCUCACGCGUUAAGUUCGCCGCCUGGGAAGUACUGUCCCAAGACU
Molecule: ribosomal RNA, 770 nt
Filed under: Lysobacter gummosus
Lineage: Bacteria; Pseudomonadati; Pseudomonadota; Gammaproteobacteria; Lysobacterales; Lysobacteraceae
Description: bacterial SSU rRNA
Rfam family: Bacterial small subunit ribosomal RNA
Source: RNAcentral